Molecule: ribosomal RNA, 1207 nt
Filed under: Salmonella enterica subsp. enterica
Lineage: Bacteria; Pseudomonadati; Pseudomonadota; Gammaproteobacteria; Enterobacterales; Enterobacteriaceae
Description: partial 23S ribosomal RNA
Rfam family: Bacterial large subunit ribosomal RNA
Source: RNAcentral
UAACACUGAGGCGUGAUGACGAGGCACUACGGUGCUGAAGCAACAAAUGCCCUGCUUCCAGGAAAAGCCUCUAAGCAUCAGGUAACACGAAAUCGUACCCCAAACCGACACAGGUGGUCAGGUAGAGAAUACCAAGGCGCUUGAGAGAACUCGGGUGAAGGAACUAGGCAAAAUGGUGCCGUAACUUCGGGAGAAGGCACGCUGACACGUAGGUGAAGUGAUUUACUCAUGGAGCUGAAGUCAGUCGAAGAUACCAGCUGGCUGCAACUGUUUAUUAAAAACACAGCACUGUGCAAACACGAAAGUGGACGUAUACGGUGUGACGCCUGCCCGGUGCCGGAAGGUUAAUUGAUGGGGUCAGCGCAAGCGAAGCUCCUGAUCGAAGCCCCGGUAAACGGCGGCCGUAACUAUAACGGUCCUAAGGUAGCGAAAUUCCUUGUCGGGUAAGUUCCGACCUGCACGAAUGGCGUAAUGAUGGCCAGGCUGUCUCCACCCGAGACUCAGUGAAAUUGAACUCGCUGUGAAGAUGCAGUGUACCCGCGGCAAGACGGAAAGACCCCGUGAACCUUUACUAUAGCUUGACACUGAACAUUGAGCCUUGAUGUGUAGGAUAGGUGGGAGGCUUUGAAGUGUGGACGCCAGUCUGCAUGGAGCCGACCUUGAAAUACCACCCUUUAAUGUUUGAUGUUCUAACGUGGACCCGUAAUCCGGGUUGCGGACAGUGUCUGGUGGGUAGUUUGACUGGGGCGGUCUCCUCCUAAAGAGUAACGGAGGAGCACGAAGGUUGGCUAAUCCUGGUCGGACAUCAGGAGGUUAGUGCAAUGGCAUAAGCCAGCUUGACUGCGAGCGUGACGGCGCGAGCAGGUGCGAAAGCAGGUCAUAGUGAUCCGGUGGUUCUGAAUGGAAGGGCCAUCGCUCAACGGAUAAAAGGUACUCCGGGGAUAACAGGCUGAUACCGCCCAAGAGUUCAUAUCGACGGCGGUGUUUGGCACCUCGAUGUCGGCUCAUCACAUCCUGGGGCUGAAGUAGGUCCCAAGGGUAUGGCUGUUCGCCAUUUAAAGUGGUACGCGAGCUGGGUUUAGAACGUCGUGAGACAGUUCGGUCCCUAUCUGCCGUGGGCGCUGGAGAACUGAGGGGGGCUGCUCCUAGUACGAGAGGACCGGAGUGGACGCAUCACUGGUGUUCGGGUUGUCAUGCCAAUGGCACU